Molecule: ribosomal RNA, 629 nt
Filed under: uncultured Campylobacterota bacterium
Lineage: Bacteria; Pseudomonadati; Campylobacterota
Description: bacterial SSU rRNA
Rfam family: Bacterial small subunit ribosomal RNA
Source: RNAcentral
AGACUUUGAUCCUGGCUCAGAUUGAACGCUGGCGGAAUGCUUUACACAUGCAAGUCGAACGGCAGCACGGGUGCUUGCACCUGGUGGCGAGUGGCGAACGGGUGAGUAAUAUAUAGUUAAUGUACCCCAAAGACUGGGAUAGCCACUGGAAACGGUGAUUAAUACUAGAUACACCUCUUUAACAUAAGUUAGAGAGGGAAAUGUCUUUUCGCUUUGGGAUCAGACUAUAUCCUAUCAGUUAGUUGGUGAGGUAAUGGCUCACCAAGGCAAUGACGGGUAGCGGGUUUGAGAGGAUGAUCCGCCACACUGGUACUGAGACACGGACCAGACUCCUACGGGAGGCAGCAGUGAGGAAUAUUGCACAAUGGAGGAAACUCUGAUGCAGCAACGCCGCGUGGAGGAUGACGCAUUUCGGUGUGUAAACUCCUUUUAUAUGUCAAGAAAAUGACGGUAGCAUAUGAAUAAGCACCGGCUAACUCCGUGCCAGCAGCCGCGGUAAUACGGAGGGUGCAAGCGUUACUCGGAAUCACUGGGCGUAAAGGACGCGUAGGCGGGUUGUCAAGUCAGGUGUGAAAUCCUACAGCUUAACUGUAGAACUGCACUUGAAACUGGCAACCUAGAGUAUGGGA